CGUAGGUGGCAAGCGUUGUCCGGAUUUAUUGGGUUUAAAGGGUGCGUAGGCGGCUUUGUAAGUCAGUGGUGAAAUACUCCAGCUCAACUGGAGAGGUGCCAUUGAUACUGCAGAGCUAGAGUACUGAUGAGGUAGGCGGAAUGGACGGUGUAGCGGUGAAAUGCUUAGAUAUCGUCCAGAACACCGAUAGCGAAGGCAGCUUACUAAAGAGUAACUGACGCUGAGGCACGAAAGUGUGGGGAUCAAACAGGAUUAGAUACCCUGGUAGUCCACACUGUAAACGUUGAUCACUAGAUGUUGGCGAUACACUGCCAGCGUUCCAGCAAAAGCGUUAAGUGAUCCACCUGGGAGUACGCCCGCAAGGGUG
Molecule: ribosomal RNA, 367 nt
Filed under: uncultured organism
Description: bacterial SSU rRNA
Rfam family: Bacterial small subunit ribosomal RNA
Source: RNAcentral